AACCCAUGGUGAGGGCACCUUCUUAAUAGAUCCUUGUAUCUCUUCCAUGCGUCAUAGAGUAUUUCUAAAUCCAUCUGCACAAAAGAAGAAAUAUCAUUCCUUAAUUU
RNAcentral lists this small nucleolar RNA (107 nucleotides) under Gossypium hirsutum (cotton). Its description in RNAcentral is "Plant small nucleolar RNA R71". It matches the Rfam family "Plant small nucleolar RNA R71". Rfam says of the family: R71 is a member of the C/D box family of snoRNAs containing the C (UGAUGA) and D (CUGA) box motifs. Multiple nearly identical copies of this snoRNA have been identified in Arabidopsis, and it is thought to function as a 2'-O-ribose methylation guide for 18S ribosomal RNA. Lineage: Eukaryota; Viridiplantae; Streptophyta; Magnoliopsida; Malvales; Malvaceae. The record is from Rfam by way of RNAcentral. RNAcentral also lists the same sequence under 1 other name.